AUAUUCUGUAGCAAGGUUAACCGCAUAGGGGAGCCGGAGGGAAACCGAGUCUUAAUUGGGCGUUAAGUUGCAGGGUAUAGACCCGAAACCCGGUGAUCUAGCCAUGGGCAGGUUGAAGGUUGGGUAACACUAACUGGAGGACCGAACCGACUAAUGUUGAAAAAUUAGCGGAUGACCUGUGGCUGGGGGUGAAAGGCCAAUCAAACCGGGAGAUAGCUGGUUCUCCCCGAAAGCUAUUUAGGUAGCGCCUCGUGAAUUCAUCUCCGGGGGUAGAGCACUGUUUCGGCUAGGGGGCCAUCCCGGCUUACCAACCCGAUGCAAACUGCGAAUACCGGAGAAUGUUAUCACGGGAGACACACGGCGGGUGCUAACGUCCGUCGUGAAGAGGGAAACAACCCAGACCGCCAGCUAAGGUCCCAAAGUCAUGGUUAAGUGGGAAACGAUGUGGGAAGGCCCAGACAGCCAGGAUGUUGGCUUAGAAGCAGCCAUCAUUUAAAGAAAGCGUAAUAGCUCACUGGUCGAGUCGGCCUGCGCGGAAGAUGUAACGGGGCUAAACCAU
Molecule: ribosomal RNA, 559 nt
Filed under: Salmonella enterica
Lineage: Bacteria; Pseudomonadati; Pseudomonadota; Gammaproteobacteria; Enterobacterales; Enterobacteriaceae
Description: partial 23S ribosomal RNA
Rfam family: Bacterial large subunit ribosomal RNA
Source: RNAcentral